This 252-nucleotide ribosomal RNA is filed under the name uncultured bacterium. Its description in RNAcentral is "partial 16S ribosomal RNA". It matches the Rfam family "Bacterial small subunit ribosomal RNA", at positions 525 to 776 of the family's 1533-position model. The record is from RNAcentral.
ACGAACCGUACGAACGUUAUUCGGAAUCACUGGGCUUAAAGAGUGCGUAGGCGGCUUGGCAAGUUGGGUGUGAAAUCCCUCGGCUCAACCGAGGAAUGGCGCCCAAAACUGUCAAGCUUGAGGGAGGUAGAGGUAAGCGGAACUAAUGGUGGAGCGGUGAAAUGCGUUGAUAUCAUUAGGAACACCUGAGGCGAAAGCAGCUUACUGGGCCUUUUCUGACGCUGAGGCACGAAAGCUAGGGGAGCGAACGGG